Molecule: ribosomal RNA, 56 nt
Filed under: Bacteroides galacturonicus
Lineage: Bacteria; Pseudomonadati; Bacteroidota; Bacteroidia; Bacteroidales; Bacteroidaceae
Description: partial 23S ribosomal RNA
Source: RNAcentral
UGGAAGUGUGGUGACAUAUGGAGCUGAUCUGUACUAAUAGGUCGAGGGCUUAACCG